RNAcentral lists this long non-coding RNA (6231 nucleotides) under Sus scrofa (pig). Its description in RNAcentral is "lncRNA (ENSSSCG00000062773.1)". Lineage: Eukaryota; Metazoa; Chordata; Mammalia; Artiodactyla; Suidae. The record is from RNAcentral.
UUUACAUUGGUAAAUAGGGUUUAGUAUUGGUUUAAUAGAAAAACAUUGUAUUCCUCUUAAUUCCUUUUAAAAUACAUCAAACUCACCAUAGUAAACAAGUAACAUUGUCUAGUGGGGUCUUUAUGUACAGAGAUUUGAGACAUAUGUCUGAAAAGUGUGACAUAAAGAUGGAAGGAGCAAAAUCAACAUGUAGAAUCUCAGGGUUUCUCUAUCUUAGGUAAAUUACACUAUUAGUAACUCUAGGUAAACUGUGACUAUUCGGGAAAAUGUAUUCAUAUCCCGACAAUAGCACUGAGGACGAUGCAAGACAUAUGCCCAAAAUGCCAAAGAAAAAUUAAAAUGAGGUUUUUGUAAUUCAGAUAAUCCAAAGGAAGGCAGGAAAUGGGGAGAAAGAAGCAAGACCCCUAACAGCAGUAUCUGACACAGAGCAAGGAAAACAACUUUAGUUAAUGUCAUUUUAACAGUAAAAUAUGGAAUGUUUGAUUUGUAUCUGGGAGACACCGAGGUCGUCCAGCCUCAUCACUUUAUUCAGCAUUACAUUUCAAGGUCUAAGUAAUUUAAAUAAGGUAAUAACAAUUUGUAAAAGUAUAAAGACUAAACAGGAAAAAGUAAAACUUUCUCUGGAUGAAAACGUGUUGUUCAAGCAGGAAAUUCUAGGAAAUCUACAAAACAUAGAAUGUAACUCAUUCGUAAGAUCACAGAAUAUAAACAUAACACAAAAAUGAUUAUUCUUUAUAUACUUUAAUAAGCAAUGGAAAGAUUAAAAAGAACCUUAGGAUAUGUUAAAACCCAUAAGUAUUUAAGAGCAAAUAUUUCUUAAAGUUUUACUGAAAAUUAUAGAACACUGCUGAGAGAAAUAAAGAAGAUACAAAUAAAUGUAAUGAGGCAUACCAUGUUUAUGGAUUGGAAGAUUCAAUGCUCUUGAGGAACCAAUUCUCCAAAAACUGAUGUAUGUAUACAGAGCAAUAUAGAUCAAAAUUCUAUAAGAACUUUCCAUAUAAAUAGGCUGAUUUUAUGUGAGUGUGCCAACUAACCAGAAUAAUGAAAGUAGUUUUAAUAAUCAAAAAAUAGGCUUGGAUGGUUUGUACUACAUGACUUCAAGACUUACCAUAAAGCUAAAAUAAUCAAGACAGUGCAGUAUUGAGUAAACUUUAGACAUAGAUUACGGAAACAAAAAAAAAAGACAUUUUGUAAAUAAAUCCACAUAUGUAUUGGAUACAUCCUUAUGCAUGCAGGCCAAUUGAUUUUAAUUUUUUAAAUUUUUCUUAUACUUGAUUUACAAUGUUCAUUCAAUUUCCACUCAACAGUAUAGUGACCCAGUCACACGUACACACCCAUUUAAUUUUUUCAUUAUUGAUCAAGUUCUUACCCAAGGGACUAGAUGUGUUGCCCUGUGCUGUACAGCAGGACCCCAUCACCCAUUAGUUCGAAAUGUAACAGUCUGCAUCUCCCAACCCCAAACACAACCGUCAGCCUCCAUCUCUCCCCCCUCUCUGCUGGCAAACGCAAGUUGGCCCUCCAUGUCCAUGAUCUGUUUCUGUUUUGUAAAUAGGUCAUUGGUGCCAUAUUUUAGACUCCACAUAUAAGUGAUAUCAUGUGGUAUUUGUCUUUCUCGUUCUUACUUCACUUAGUGUGAGAAUCUCUAGUUCUAUCCAUGUUGCUGCAAACUGCAGUAUUUCGUCCUUUUUAUGACUGAAUAGUACUCCAUUAUAUAUGUACCACAUCUUCUUAAUCCAUUCAUCUGUUGAGGGAUAUAUAGGUUGUUUCCAAGUCUUGGCUUUUGUGACUAGUGCUGUACUGAAAAUAUGGGUACAUGUAUCUUUUUAAAUGAGAGUUUUGUCUGGAUAUAUGCCCAAGAGUGGGAUUACUGGGUCGUAUGGUAGUUCAUAUUUAGUUUUCUGAGGUAUUUCCAUACUGUUUUCCAUAGUGGUUGUACCAAUUUACAUUCCCACCAACAGUGAAGGAGGGUGCCCUUUACUCCACACUCUCUCCACCGUUUGCUCUUUGUUGUCUUAUGAAUCAUGGCCACUCUAACCGGUGUGAGGUGGUACCUCAUUGCAGUUUUGAUUUGCAUUUCUCUAAUAAUUAGUGAAGCUGAGCAUUUCUUCAUGGACCUGUUGGCCACCUGUAUGUCUUCUUUGGAGAAAUGUCUGUUUAGGAUUUCCACCCCCUCAUCUAUUGGGUUGUAUUUUUGCUGUUGGGUUGUAUGAGUUGUUUGUAUAUUUUGGAGAUUGAACCGUUGUGUGUUGAAUCAUUAGCAAAGAAUUUCUCCCAUCCUGUGGGUUAUCUUUUUAUUUUCUUUAAUGCCUUCCUUUGAUGUGCAGAAGUUUUUGAGUUUAAUUAGGCCCCAUUGGUUUUAUUUUUGUCUAUAUUUUCAUUAUUCUAGAAGGUGGAUCAAAAAGACGUUGCUGUGAUUUAUGUCAAAGUGCAUUCUGCCUAUGUUUUCCUCUAGGAGGUUUAUAGUAUCUGGCUUUCCAUUUAAGUCCUGAAUUCAUUUUAUUUCUGAGUAUGGUGUUAGAAAAUAUUCCAAUGUCAUUCUCGUACAUGCGGUUGUCUGGUUUUCCCGGCACCAUUUACUGAAGAGAUUAUCUUUCCUUCACUGUAUGUUCGCGCCUCCUUUGUCAUAGAUUCAUUGACCAUGGGUGCUUGGGUUUAUUUAUGGGCUUUCUAUCCUGUUCCAUUGAUCCAUAUUUCUGUUUUUGUGCUAAUACCACACUGUUUUGAUUAUUAAUGCUUUGUAGCAAAGUCUGAAGACUGGUAGCCUAAGUGUUCCUGUUCCAUUUUUCCUUUUCAAUAUUGCUUUGGCUAUUCGAGGUCUUUUGUAUUUCCAUACAAAUUUUAAAAUGUAUUGUUCUAGUUCUAUAGGCAAUUUGACAUGGAUUACAAUGAAUCUGUAGAUUGCCUUAGGUAGUAUUGCCAUUUUGACUAUAUUGAUUCUUCUGAUCCAAGAGCAUUGUAUAUCUUUCCAUGUAUCUGAGUCAUUUUGAUUUCUUUCAUCGCUGUCUUAUAGUUCAGAAUAUAGGUCUUUUGUCUCUUUAGGUAGGUUUAUUCCUAGCUGUUUUAUUUUGUGUGUGUUAUGGUAAAUGGGAUGGUUUCCCUAAUUUCUCUUUCUGGUUUUUCAUCGUUAGUAUAUAGAAAUGCAAUUGAUUUCUGCAUAUUACUUUUGUAUCCUGCAACAAUACCAAAUGCAUUGAUGAGCUCUCACACUUUUAUGGUAGUGUUUUUAGGAUUUUCUAUGUAUGGAGAAGAGUGACAGUUUUACUUCUUCUUUUCCAAUUUGGAUGCCUUUUAUUUCUUUUUAUUCUCUGAUUGUCAGGGCUAGGAUUUCCAAAACUCUGUUCAAUAAUGUUGGUGAAAAGGAACAUCCUUGUCUGGUUCCUGAUCUUGUUCUUCUCCAUUCCUUUUGUUAUGGUGUUUAGCUUCAUUUAUUUUUCGCAGUAAAUAACACUUUAUUUCCGUUACUUUUCCUGAAGCUGACUUACAAUGCAUUUGGAAGAGUAUUGAAUGAAGAUGGCAGAAAGAUAGAUCAUUUAGGGUAGAGAGACAUAGCAGAGCAGCAGCACAUAGCCCCAUCUGUCUUUGGCAUAUUGUAUCACAGGCAUCCCUAGAAAAUCAAUGGUGUGAACUCAAAAUUCACUAAUCAUUCUCUGAAUAGCUGCAUAAGAAAAAAACUACCCAUCUCUAGUUAUCAGAGCUAUUUUGCAGAAAGCAGAAAUCCCAGCCCCUCAAGAAACAAGUACAGUAAGACCUGGAGACAGAGAUCCAGUCUGUAAGACCAGAUGACUAGUAGUGAUGGCUAUUGGUUAUAACUGGUUCCAGGGAAGAGGACACUAUGCCAGCAAUAAGGGCUUGAUAUUGUUAAUUUUACAAUAUUUGGGGUGGGCAUAAUAAGAGUUUAUAUAGUCCUUGUUCCUAGGUAUGCACUGUGACAUGUCUCAUGACAAAUACUCCAAAAGCAGCAUCUUGGACUCUGAUUCUCAUGCAAGUGAUUUAGUGAGGGGUGAUCUUAGGGGGAAAACUUUAAAGAGAGAGAGAGGGGCUGGACAAGGCAUGGGGAGAAGCCCAAUGAAAGAUAUGGACUCUGCUGAAAUGUAGCCUCAGUCAGACCCCAUGGGGAGCACUGGAGCAGGAAUGGCACCAGAGCUGUCCUACCCUCUGACCACAGGGUGUUUUUCUCAUAAUCACUUUGAAAUACUUCAUCAUUGAUUUGUUGGCUCUGGGGCAGCCCAGGAUGAGGAUGAACUCCCAGACAUUGUCAGUCAAUUUUGUUCCCUUUGGCCAAGAGCAGUUCGUAGAAGAGUACAUUAGCAGCUGUAUGUAUUCUUUCGUUCACUGAAAAGCAGAUGAAAUGUUCACUGGCCUAGUCAUGGAGUUGAAGAAAAGGCACAACUUUAUGUCUUUCCUUAUAGAAUUCAUUCUUACUGUUUCAAUUUAUUUCUUAGUUUGUACGCAUUAUUCAAGUAGGGGCUUCUUGUGAAGUAGGAUUUGUUCUGAACAUUAAAAAAAUGGGCAAGAGUUUGGAUGACUGAACUUAGGACCUGGGAUUUUAGGACACACAGAGCAGAGUGCACUAUGAAAACAGUGCAGACAUUAAGCAGAAGGCAGUGUGUUGACUGGUUGCCAUAAGGUGUUGAGGUUCUGAAUGCAGAUAUUGGAGGUAAGACUGGUAGUGCGUUAGUAAGAAGGUGGUACAGAUAUUGGAAAACUCCCAGGCUGAUAAGAGAGGAAAUUAGAAGGUAUUUGCAGAUUUUAAUAAAUGCCAGUAGAGUAACUGGGGAUUUGGAGGAAAGAGGAUUUUCCUUCAGAGAAAGUUCUUCUCUGAGAGCGAAAUCACAGUGCUUUUACUGUGUCUUGAUGUUUGCGUUCAUCUUCUUCUGAAUGUUUCCCCAGGCAAUAGCUUCCCAGGUCAUGCCAUUCCCUUGCCCUGUGUAUAAGACAGAGGAGUCAUGAGGAACUUGCCAAAUUUUCAGAAUGGACAGGAAAUGAUAUCAUGCAGGAAAUAAAAUAUCCUUGAGGAAAUCCUCUACAUGCCGAGAUUUUGAGCGAGUUGAGUUCCCCGUUUCCAUUGUUAUUCAGAAUUAUACCUGCAAACAUCACUAAAAAGUCUCUUUGGAAGAUCAGAACCAUCGUUGAGGACAUCGUAUUGUGUUUAAGUUCCACAAAGCACAGACUCCUGAUAUUUCAGGCAGCAGCUUUAAGACAAUGGUCUCCACUGGUCACAGAAUGCGCAUUAAAAACUUUAUGCUAUGAGCUCCGUUUUAAGGAAUAGAGAAGACACAACUUCUUAUGUUGUGGAGACUAAUGUUGGGUGGGGGACUCAUUGCAGGCAUUCCAAAGAAAAAAAUUGUCUUAAAACUUGUGCCUGCCUAAUGAGAAAUAUGAAGUCUUAGGUAGUACUGCAGAAUGUACAUCUGAGUUGUAAGACUCUAACUUCUUCUAGCUUAGGACCUCAUGAAGUUAAAAGAAUAGAAAGUGUUGUUUUUUUUCCCUGUAGAACAUAGAAUUAUAGUUUUUCCCUUUAUGGUAAGUAUUAUUUUCUGUCUUCUAAUAAUCAAGUAUCUGUAGAUGUUAAUAGCCUGUUGGAAAAUAUCGAUGGAAACAUGGGCAGAGGUAAUCUAGGAAUUAAGAAUGCUGUCAACUUCCUACUCCUGGUACCACUGGGACCCAGAAAACACUAUUGGGGGAGCACUGGGAAACUUCAAACAGAAAAUAGGACGGGAAACUCGAGGCAAACACCAUGACAGUAAAAAGAACAAUGCUUGUGAAAAACAAAUAUAAGGCUGAAACAAUGUCCUAGGCAUCUUAUUCUCCGCUUCCUGACAGGGUGAGCCGAGUGAAGGGAGAUAAGGUCAUAUUGACAUAACCUUCUGUCAUUACUCUAUUCCGGAAGGGAAUUUUUAAAACACGUGAAUUUAGCAUCAAAAUAUAUGAAAAGUAACAUACAAGAAAAAAGAUCACAACAAAAAUUAAUGAUAAAGCCUAUGAGGAGUUCCUGUUUGGCUCAGUGGUUAAAGAAUCCGACUACAAACCGUGAGGUUACAUGUUCGAUCCCUGGCCUUGCCCAGCGGGUUAAGGAUUUGGCAUUGCUGUGAGCUGUGGUGUAGGUCACAGAUGCGGCUUGUGUCCUGCAUUGCUGUGGCUGUGGUGUAGGACAGCAGCUGUAGCUCCGAUUUGACCCCUAGGCUGGGAACUUCCAUACGCUGCAGGUGUGGACCUAGAAAAGAUAAAAAG